UUCCCUUAAGUUUAUGCAGGAAAUAUGAACCAAUUUUAUUUGUAUACAAAGCAGAUCGAAUUUAAGAUGGAAGAUCUGCUUUAACACACCUGAAUAUUACUGAAUUACUUUUUUUGAUUAUUCACAUGAAUGGGCCUUCUUCAUAGGGCAGAUGUUUGAGAGGUGACUUAAUUUCAUGUUCACAAUCUCACCUGAGUACUGUACAACAGCAGGGUUGCCCUU
Molecule: long non-coding RNA, 222 nt
Filed under: Bos taurus (domestic cattle)
Lineage: Eukaryota; Metazoa; Chordata; Mammalia; Artiodactyla; Bovidae
Description: long non-coding RNA NONBTAT023433
Source: RNAcentral